UUACGGCUCAGUAACACGUCGAUAAUCUGCCCUAAGAUUUAGGAUACCCACGGAAACUGUGGUUAAUACUUGAUAUUGAGGGAAUUCUGGAAUGAGUCCUUUGAGAAACGUAAGGUCUUAGGAUGAGUCGGCGGCGGAUUAGGCAGUUGGCGGUGUAACGGACCACCAAACCUAAGAUCCGUAGGGGCCCUGAGAGGGGUAGCCCCGAGAGGGACACUGAAAUACUGGUCCCAGCUCCACGGAGUGCAGCAGGCGCGUAACCUUCACAAUGCGCGAAAGCGUGAUGAGGGGAUCCCGAGUGCUUACAUUAUAUGUAAGCUUUUGCCAAGGGUAAACACCUUGGAGAAUAAGUGGUGGGAAAGACCGGUGCCAGCAGCCGCGGUAACCCCGGCGCCGCAAGUGGCAAUCGUGUAUUUGGCCUAAAGCAUUCGUAGCCGGCUCAGUAAAUCCUUUGUGAAAUCGUUGAACUCAAUACAACGGCGUGCAGGGGACACUACUAAGCUUGAGACUGGGAGGAGUUUGGAGUAUUAUUAGGGGAGCGGUUGAAUGUGAUAAUCCUAGUAAGACUACCUGUGGCGAAGGCGCCAAACUAGAACAGUUCUGACGGUGAGGGAUGAAAGCUAGGGGAGCGAUCCGGAUUAGAUACCCGAGUAGUCCUAGCCGUAAACACUGCGAACUAGGUGUCGCGUAUUCUACGAGAAUAC
Molecule: ribosomal RNA, 704 nt
Filed under: uncultured euryarchaeote
Lineage: Archaea; Methanobacteriati; Methanobacteriota
Description: bacterial SSU rRNA
Rfam family: Archaeal small subunit ribosomal RNA
Source: RNAcentral